UACGUAGGGUGCAAGCGUUAAUCGGAAUUACUGGGCGUAAAGCGUGCGCAGGCGGCUUUGCAAGACAGAUGUGAAAUCCCCGGGCUCAACCUGGGAACUGCAUUUGUGACUGCAAGGCUAGAGUACGGUAGAGGGGGAUGGAAUUCCGCGUGUAGCAGUGAAAUGCGUAGAUAUGCGGAGGGACACCGAUGGCGAAGGCAAUCCCCUGGACCUGUACUGACGCUCAUGCACGAAAGCGUGGGGAGCAAACAGG
This 253-nucleotide ribosomal RNA is filed under the name uncultured bacterium. Its description in RNAcentral is "partial 16S ribosomal RNA". It matches the Rfam family "Bacterial small subunit ribosomal RNA", at positions 524 to 776 of the family's 1533-position model. The record is from RNAcentral.